Molecule: ribosomal RNA, 617 nt
Filed under: uncultured beta proteobacterium
Lineage: Bacteria; Pseudomonadati; Pseudomonadota; Betaproteobacteria
Description: bacterial SSU rRNA
Rfam family: Bacterial small subunit ribosomal RNA
Source: RNAcentral
GUAGUCCACGCCCUAAACUAUGUCAACUGGUUGUCGGGAGAUUAACUCUCUUGGUAACGAAGCUAACGCGUGAAGUUGACCGCCUGGGGAGUACGGCCGCAAGGUUAAAACUCAAAGGAAUUGACGGGGACCCGCACAAGCGGUGGAUUAUGUGGAUUAAUUCGAUGCAACGCGAAAAACCUUACCUACCCUUGACAUGUACGGAAUCCUUCAGAGAUGGAGGGGUGCCCGAAAGGGAACCGUAACACAGGUGCUGCAUGGCUGUCGUCAGCUCGUGUCGUGAGAUGUUGGGUUAAGUCCCGCAACGAGCGCAACCAUUGUCAUUAGUUGCUACAUUUAGUUGGGCACUCUAAUGAGACUGCCGGUGACAAACCGGAGGAAGGUGGGGAUGACGUCAAGUCCUCAUGGCCCUUAUGGGUAGGGCUUCACACGUAAUACAAUGGCCGGUACAGAGGGCUGCCAACCCGCGAGGGGGAGCUAAUCUCAGAAAGCCGGUCGUAGUCCGGAUUGUUCUCUGCAACUCGAGAGCAUGAAGUUGGAAUCGCUAGUAAUCGCGGAUCAGCAUGUCGCGGUGAAUACGUUCCCGGGUCUUGUACACACCGCCCGUCACACCAUGG